CAGGUAGGACUAUGAAAA
Molecule: ribosomal RNA, 18 nt
Filed under: Descomyces sp. H6701
Lineage: Eukaryota; Fungi; Basidiomycota; Agaricomycetes; Agaricales; Bolbitiaceae
Description: partial 28S ribosomal RNA
Source: RNAcentral